UACGUAGGGUGCAAGCGUUAAUCGGAAUUACUGGGCGUAAAGCGUGCGCAGGCGGUUUUGUAAGACAGAGGUGAAAGCCCCGGGCUCAACCUGGGAAUGGCAUUUGGGACUGCAAGGCUUGAGUGCGGCAGAGGAGACUGGAAUUCCUGGUGUAGCAGUGAAAUGCGUAGAUAUCAGGAGGAAUACCGAUGGCGAAGGCAGGUCUCUGGGCUGACACUGACGCUGAGACGCGAAAGCGUGGGGAGCAAACAGG
Molecule: ribosomal RNA, 253 nt
Filed under: uncultured bacterium
Lineage: Bacteria
Description: partial 16S ribosomal RNA
Rfam family: Bacterial small subunit ribosomal RNA
Source: RNAcentral